GACGAACGCUCCCUUUCGUGCUUAACACAUGCAAGUCGAACGGAAAGGCCCUGCUUGCAUGGUACUCGAGUGGCGAACGGGUGAGUAACACGUGGGUGAUCUGCCCUGCACUUCGGGAUAAGCCUGGGAAACUGGGUCUUAUACCGGAUAGGAGCCCUUUUUAGUGCGACGGUUGGAAAGGUUUUUCGGUGUAAGAUGAGCUCCCCCCCUCUCCGCUUGUUGGCGGGGGAAUGGCCUACCCAGGCCGCCACCGGGAGCCCGCCUGAAAGGGAGGGGGGCCCCCUUGGGACUGAAAUACCCCCCAUACCCCUACCGGAGGCGACCAAGGGGAAUUUUGCACCGUGGGCCCCACCCCGAAGGGGGAAACCCCCCUGGGGGAAGACGGCCCUCAGGUUGAAAACUCCUUUUGCUAUGCACGAAGCUUUUUUUUAAGGCACCUUGAUCAACACCGGCGGGGAACCCCCCGCCAUCCUCCGAGGUAAUACGUAGGGGGGCGACCCCCCCCCGGAAUUACUGGGCGUAAAGGGCUCGUAGGUGGUUUGUCGCGUCGUCUGUGAAUUCCGGGGCUUAACUCCGGGCGUGCAGGCGAUACGGGCAUAACUUGAGUACUGUAGGGGUAACUGGAAUUCCUGGUGUAGCGGUGAAAUGCGCAGAUAUCAGGAGGAACACCGAUGGCGAAGGCAGGUUACUGGGCAGUUACUGACGCUGAGGAGCGAAAGCAUGGGUAGCGAACAGGAUUAGAUACCCUGGUAGUCCAUGCCGUAAACGGUGGGCGCUAGGUGUGAGGGUCUUUUCACGACUUUCGUGCCGUAGCUAACGCAUUAAGCGCCCCGCCUGGGGAGUACGGCCGCAAGGCUAAAACUCAAAGGAAUUGACGGGGGCCCGCACAAGCGGCGGAGCAUGUGGAUUAAUUCGAUGCAACGCGAAGAACCUUACCUGGGCUUGACAUACACCGGAUCGGGCUAGAGAUAGUCUUUCCCUUUGUGGCUGGUGUACAGGUGGUGCAUGGUUGUCGUCAGCUCGUGUCGUGAGAUGUUGGGUUAAGUCCCGCAACGAGCGCAACCCUUGUCUUAUGUUGCCAGCAUUUGGUUGGGGACUCAUGAGAGACUGCCGGGGUCAACUCGGAGGAAGGUGGGGAUGACGUCAAAUCAUCAUGCCCCUUAUGUCCAGGGCUUCACACAUGCUACAAUGGUCGGUACAACGCGCAGCGACACUGUGAGGUGGAGCGAAUCGCUGAAAGCCGGCCUUAGUUCGGAUUGGGGUCUGCAACUCGACCCCAUGAAGUCGGAGUCGCUAGUAAUCGCAGAUCAGCAACGCUGCGGUGAAUACGUUCCCGGGCCU
This 1341-nucleotide ribosomal RNA is filed under the name uncultured bacterium. RNAcentral describes it as "partial 16S ribosomal RNA". It matches the Rfam family "Bacterial small subunit ribosomal RNA". The record is from RNAcentral.